UUAACUUAUUAAGUUUUUUAUUCAGAUUGACAAAAAUUAACAAUAGUUUAGUAGUCCACCGGCGGCCGCCUCCGUGAAGAGGACUGCCGCCGAGGCAACAGUGGUAAGUUCACAAUGGUUUGGAGUUAAAAACUCAGUAAUGAUCCCUCCGCAGGUUCACCUACGGAGA
This 169-nucleotide unclassified non-coding RNA is filed under the name uncultured fungus. RNAcentral describes it as "sequence contains ITS1". The record is from RNAcentral. Lineage: Eukaryota; Fungi.